Molecule: transfer RNA, 526 nt
Filed under: uncultured Prochlorococcus sp.
Lineage: Bacteria; Bacillati; Cyanobacteriota; Cyanophyceae; Synechococcales; Prochlorococcaceae
Description: partial 16S-23S ribosomal RNA intergenic spacer
Rfam family: tRNA (bases 209-281)
Source: RNAcentral
CAGGGAGACAACAAAAUGUUAAAUAUUAUUUUGUCACCUUAGGUCGAUCGGUAUCUCACGUUCUUAAUUAAUUAAGAAUUUCAUUUUCUAAGUUUUUCUAGGUCACACCCAUUAUUUUUCCUGGGCCAUUAGCUCAGGUGGUUAGAGCGCACCCCUGAUAAGGGUGAGGUCCCUGGUUCAAGUCCAGGAUGGCCCAUAUCUCUAUGUUGGGGGUAUAGCUCAGUUGGUAGAGCGCCUGCUUUGCAAGCAGGAUGUCAGCGGUUCGAGUCCGCUUACCUCCACUGAUUACCACCUCUUCCAUAAUCUGUAGAAAGGAAAUGUUUUGAGUUGUGAUCAAAUUCUGAACGAAUCUAGCUUCCUAAUGAAAUUAUUAAGAUGCUGGACUCAUUGAAUUAAUUUCAUUGUUUUCAGAGAACCUUGACAACUGCAUAGAUUAUUUUUUUAAAGACAAUAAGCAUCUUUAAUGAUGCAGAUUUAUUAUUUGUGCGAAUGCAUUAAUAACAAUUCUAUUAAGCUGAUGCUUCAA